CCUGGGAUUUUGAUGGAGCCCUUGCACUGUUUCUUUUGCGCGGGGUGGUUGUCCGUGUAGGGUGGAGAGAGACUAGGGAGGGCUUAGGUGCCCUUGAGGGUGUCCCCAGUCCCAGGUUCCUCUGGGGGCAGGAUGGUAAGCAAACGGCAGGGUGGAUGUGCCUGCAGCCUGCAUGCUGGACCCCACAGGGGUCUCCCGUGCCGUCUGGCCCCUGAGAGCCUGCCGUCAUGAUCUGGUUUGACGUGGUUUUGAGUAACUUCCGUCUCCCAGAGGAUACCAGGGCCCUUUCAUUCACAAACAUGAUCUGAGUUGUUUUCCAGGAAGGGCUGGGAACAUUCUAGGAGAUGCUGAGGGUGUACCUGUUGGGUGAACUGGUGUUCUGCUUAGGGUCUGAGGACACCUGCCUUCACAUUGAAAAUGCAUGUCUGUGUCUUGGAUUAUUUUUUGUGUGGGGAAAAGUGUCAAAUAAAGAGGAGUCUUUAAAUAGUUGAUUCAGAAAUGUUAGAGAUUUAAUUGAAGAGCUUGUCUACAUUUUUAUAUUUCCCUUAGGGACAUAGAAACUAACAUCUUUCUCUGGGAUGCUUUUGAAAUUUACGUUCAAUUCUGUUCAAUGGCUUGUUUGAGGACUGUCAGAUGCAAUGGGUGGUAAUGCUGAACUUUUCUUGCUGUGCAUUUUGCUCCAAGUAGGCUCUUGGGCAGCCCUCCCUGCCUAGAGUCGAUUAACCUUGUGUGUCCGUGACCUCUUUACCCAUCAGUGUAUCUUGUAUGCACUGCAUGGUACUGGGGUGAUGGCUUUAUCUUUCCCUCACUGCCUGGUUACAGGGGUUCUUUAAGAGCAGGGGACAUGUUCUUUUGUUUCCCUAGUGUCUGGCAAAGUGCCUGGCACAUAGUAGGUGGUCAUUAAGACAGAUGGGGUUGAGUUGACGUUACAAGGAUUUUAGAGGAUCGGACUAGUUUGACUUCAAAGGGAGAUAAAGUGCCUUUUCAAGGGUGCACCUCAGUGAUUCCUCAAGUGAUCUGGAUGUUUACUUUAGGAUUCAAAAAGUAAAGUGUUCCAUUUAGUAAACUAAGUCUUUCUCAAUCUGAUGUUAUCCUGUUGUGUUGACUCUCCUCUGGAUUUGGGGGCCGUUCCCGCUUACAAGGCAGGGAGGGGGCUGGCUGGUCCCCCGGCUUCCGCAGAUGGACAUGUGCUCCUGUGGGCACUGUCCAGCCGGGCUACCGCGUGUUCACUGCCGUCAGUUUCUGAGGGAUGAGGUAAUCUUAGCUCAGCUUAGUUUCAUAUACAGUAGUUUUGCUCGUUGAGGAAAUUGUUGUCUAUUGAAGUUUUUAAGAUGUAAGGGAUGUUAUGAACUGCAAUCAAGUGGGUAUCCUCUCAUGUAAGUGCAUCUGACAAGCCAAUUUCACAAGCACAUCUCAUCAGUCACAGUUGGAUGGCAACGUUUAUUGUUUAAAGUUUUUUGUUUUGUGUGUGUGUGUAUGUGUGAGUUGAGUAUGGAAGGGAAGCCUCUAUAUAGAAACCAAAUGCUUUCAGAGGCUAAGAAAUGGCACGAAGGCAUGGAUGUUUAGACAUCUGGACAUAAUUUCUCAUUUCUCUUACUCUCUUUCUUCUUGGUCUCAGGGACACUGAGACAGCUGUUCAUUGAACUCCUUGUUCAAAAUAUCGAGCUGUGAUGAGAUGCGAGUGUUGUGACCACCUGGUGGGUGUGGAUCCCGGAAUAGCUCUGCAGGCUGAGGAGGCCACUUGGAGCAGCAUCUUUACCAGCCCGGCCUCUGAGCUGAGCCAAGCGCUUUUGUUCAUUUGCAAACAGUGCUGCCCAGCCCUUAGCCAGUUGUUAAAUCACUUUGGAUGUGUUGACAGCCUCCAAAAAGUCACAACUUAAAAAAAAGUUCAAGCUUGGAAAAAAGGUAAGGAAAUGAUCUCCUAGGGAGACAACUUCUGCCUAAAAAAUGAAAGCUUUAAAGACACAAAUUCUAUGUUAUAAACAACUUGUAAUUUUGAUCUUUUUCAGUUGUAGCUCCAGCAGCCUCUACGAUAGAUCUAAAUAUGUUUAUCACAGCUGGAAAAAUGUUUUAUUGUCAUCCUUGUUUAUCAUAAUAUGCCACCUACUCUGGUUGUGUCUUACUGUAGCUCUGCUCCAUUGUUUUAUGUGUUUUCAUAGAAGGGGGGCAGAUGAAUGUAAACUACACCUAGAAAUUGAAACAGGGAAGGAAAAAAACACGAUGUAUUCAGCCAGCGCUCUUUCCAGGUUCUAGACGUCAGCUGGCAGCCUCUAAGCUGUGGUUUAUUGAAUAAUACUUAAUCCUUAGCACAGCCCUCAGUGAAGAUCUUUUUAUGGCCUUUUCUGAAUGUUUUACAAACAUAACUAGAGCUUAUCCAGAUGAGAGCAGGGAGCGUUUUUAUUUUCUUUUUUAGAAGGAGCAAAUUUAGCCAUUGGGAUGCGACCAUUUAGUGACUAGGAGGGGAAUUGCACUUGGAGGAGCUCCUCCCUAUGCUGACAGUGUGCGUGGGGUUUGGCCUCGGUAAACCUGGGCUUGCAUUCCACCCAGUCUUAAUACUUAGUGACUGAUUUGCAGCAAAUUAAUGUAGCCCCCCUGAGCUUCUAGAUGUUUGGGAUACCCUGGUGAAAGAUGGGUCCCACAGUAUGCAUUCCACAUAUACAUUUUUUUCUUCCUUUUCUUAUCCUCCAAACUUGAAAUCUUUCCUGUGUGAUUUUUCAGAGCUUUGAUUUUUGCCCUGCCACUCUGCAGAUAAUUGGGUGCCAUUUGCUAACAUAAUUUGAAAAUUGCAAAUUCAUUUUAAUAAUAUCUUAGGCCAAGUAUAAUGAGGAAAGUCAGUUUUAUGGCCCCAAAUCAUAUUACAAAGCUAAAUGGAAACCAGUUUUAGAUGAUUCUAAUUUAUCCAUUUCUUGGCCAUUCCACCCGAUGUACCGGCUGAUCUGGGUACCCACUGACUUGACCCUGAUGGUUUGGGUAGGAGGAGAGAGGAGAGAUGCGUGAACCACAGUUAGUGGCUGAUGUUGUGUUUGUCAGUCAUUGCCUGAUAUUGCUGAGACCCGCUACUCCUUAGACCUGGGUUGGGUGGGCCUUUGUGAAAGACAGACAAUAAAUACAGUCUCUGCCACCCAGGGGCUCAUGGUCCAGUAGCGAGUGAGCCCCUAAACCCUCAGGCAGAUGGAUGCUGUCAGGGUCCCAUGGCUGAGCAGAGAGGGAAGGGUCAAGUUGGCAGCAAGCUGAGUGUUGAAGGCUGGUGUGGAGAAAAUGAGUGUUUUGCCUGAAGGAGCUCCUGGGAAGCCUGUGUACCUGAUGUCCUGGAGUUUGGGACCCUGAGGUGGCUCCAGGUACUGUCCAUGGAAGGGGAGUCCAGGAGCUGAGGCUGGCGACGUUGGCACAGUCGGACCACAAGGGCUCCAGGGAGGUUAGGUUUUGUCUGGAAGGCCCAGGGAGCCUUUGGAGGACUUGAAAUGGAAGAAAGGGCACCGUCAGAUUGGCAUUUCAGGAGCAGGUAGCAGGUGUGUUGCGGUCAGUCAGCCAGGACCCAGCCCCCAGCCAGGUGCUGUGGGGUCAUCAGGGAAGAGGUGGCCGCGGCCGCCAGGACUUGGCAUCCGUGCCAUUUGGCUCCAAGGCUGUCAUCGUGUGAUGGUUAAAUGUGGACAAAGGACUAGAUCUCUGAGAAGUCACGGCUGCAGAGCUGUGCCUCAUUUUGUCUUUGCCCUCUCUGGCUUCGUGGGGAAGGCUGCAGCCACUCACCUCUCAGCCCGAGACACAGCUCCUGUGGCCCCCGCCUGGCUCAGGGCGGACUCAGCAGACGAGGACACGGGCAUGGCGCCCCGGCGGUCUGUUCUUGUGGAGCCUCGCAGGCGCCGUGGCUCUGUGUUCCAGAAGGUGGUGGGCGCUGCAGCAGAGGGCCCUGGGUCCCGCCGGCUGAGGGCUCGGCGUGCCUGCUCGGUGUUGGGGGGAACGAGGUGGCCGCGGCCUGAGCCGCCUGUGUGUUCUCUGGUGACCUGAGCACGGAUUCUUGCUUCAUGAGCAGAGUGCAGGGUGUGGACUGGGCCUCCAGCCCUGGCCCGGGUUCCUGCAGGGCAGUUGUGCAGAGCUCUCAUUCAGGCUUACUACGCAGACUGAUACUGGGGGGGGUGUUAGGAUGCUCCUGUUUCACGGAUGUACCAUUGUGCAGAGUUGGCACAUAUGGGAAUGAUGUUAUAAUGCUUUUUUUUUGGGCGGGGGCAAGGCUUACCUCUGCUGGGUGAGCUGCUUGUUCUCUGGAAACAUCUCUGCUUGGCGUCAUGAGAUGAGGGCUGCUUUUCUGCCCUGCCACCAGCUACUGGGGGGAUUUCGAGAAAGCCAUCUGAUUCCCUGCACCUCAGUUGAUUUGUCUGUGAAGCAGUGUUAUAUUCAAUAGAUGCUAAAGACCCAAGAGUACUUGGUUAGUGAUCUGUGGCUCAGGAGACCCAAAGAUGAGGGCUCUUCUUGAAAUUGCAUGCAGAGUCUCUCUGAGUGUAGGCUUUUGGAGAAAAGACCCCGGUUUAUAUCAGGGAGGGACCCCAAUCCUCGAAAAGAAACCACGAUUAACCUCCAAGGCUCCCUUGAAGCCCCCCAGCUUCCAUGCAAUAGCA
This is a long non-coding RNA of Cervus elaphus (red deer), 4613 nucleotides long. RefSeq lists it as uncharacterized. Lineage: Eukaryota; Metazoa; Chordata; Mammalia; Artiodactyla; Cervidae. The record is from RefSeq and is a predicted model, not a curated record. The transcript is spliced from 3 exons.